AGCAGUAGCCGCGGUAAUACGGAGGGUGCAAGCGUUAAUCGGAAUUACUGGGCGUAAAGCGCACGCAGGCGGCUUCUUAAGUCGGAUGUGAAAUCCCUGAGCUUAACUUAGGAAUUGCAUUCGAUACUGGGAAGCUAGAGUAUGGGAGAGGAUGGUAGAAUUCCAGGUGUAGCGGUGAAAUGCGUAGAGAUCUGGAGGAAUACCGAUGGCGAAGGCAGCCAUCUGGCCUAAUACUGACGCUCAGGUGCGAAAGCGUGGGGAGCAAACAGGAUUAGAUACCCCGGUAGUCCCUGUCUCUUAUAC
This 303-nucleotide ribosomal RNA is filed under the name uncultured bacterium. RNAcentral's name for it is "partial 16S ribosomal RNA". It matches the Rfam family "Bacterial small subunit ribosomal RNA", at positions 507 to 807 of the family's 1533-position model. The record is from RNAcentral.